GGGAAGUGGAGCUAACAGAGAGAGUUAACAUCAUCAUGGAGGGAAGUGGAGCUAACAGAGAGAGUUAUCAUCAUCAUGGAGGGAAGUGGAGCUAACAGAGAGAGUUAUCAUCAUCAUGAAGGGAAGUGGAGCUAACAGAGAGAGUUAUCAUCAUCAUGGAGGGAAGUGGAGCUAACAGAGAGAGUUAUCAUCAUCAUGAAGGGAAGUGGAGCUAACAGAGAGAGUUAUCAUCAUCAUGAAGGGAAGUGGAGCUAACAGAGAGAGUUAUCAUCAUCAUGAAGGGAAGUGGAGCUAACAGAGAGAGUUAACAUCAUCAUGGAGGGAAGUGGAGCUAACAGAGAGAGUUAUCAUCAUCAUGGAGGGAAGUGGAGCUAACAGAGAGUUAACAUCAUCAUGGAGGGAAGUGGAGCUAACAGAGAGAGUUAACAUCAUCAUGGAGGGAAGUGGAGCUAACAGAGAGAGUUAUCAUCAUGGAGGGAAGUGGAGCUAACAGAGAGAGUUAACAUCAUCAUGAAGGGAAGUGGAGCUAACAGAGAGAGUUAACAUCAUCAUGGAGGGAAGUGGAGCUAACAGAGAGAGUUAACAUCAUCAUGGAGGGAAGUGGAGCUAACAGAGAGAGUUAACAUCAUCAUGGAGGGAAGUGGAGCUAACAGAGAGAGUUAUCAUCGUCAUGAAGGGCAGAAAAGGACCCGAGACGGAUGUCGGAGCGGAAAAACAACUUGAUUAGAAAGGGAGGAAUACAUCUUGAUUAAAGGAAAGGAUGUUUAUUCAACUGUGAAGACAAACUUUGGAAUUAAAAACUGCUAAAUGAGUGAAAUUAAUGAAGUUUACAUGACUGAGGAAAAUAUUGCUGUGGUGGAGGACAAUGCUAAAGUGAAUGACAAUCAGGAUGUAACGGCCGUCGUCGGUGUAAGAAGGUGAGGACCAAAGCGCAGCGUGGGAAGUGUUCAUCUUCAUUAAUGGAAAAAAUGAAUAACAAACAACAAAGAAACAACCGGAACAGUUCUGUCUGGUGCAGACACACAAAGAC
Molecule: long non-coding RNA, 1030 nt
Organism: Oncorhynchus tshawytscha (Chinook salmon)
Lineage: Eukaryota; Metazoa; Chordata; Actinopteri; Salmoniformes; Salmonidae
Source: Ensembl